Molecule: ribosomal RNA, 551 nt
Filed under: uncultured Glomeromycotina
Lineage: Eukaryota; Fungi; Glomeromycota
Description: SSU rRNA
Rfam family: Eukaryotic small subunit ribosomal RNA
Source: RNAcentral
UUGGAGGGCAGUCUGGUGCCAGCAGCCGCGGUAAUUCCAGCUCCAAUAGCGUAUAUUAAAGUUGUUGCAGUUAAAAAGCUCGUAGUUGAACUUCGGGGUUUACCCAUUGGUCAGGCUUAAUUGUCUGUACUGGUGAGAUAAAUCUCUACCUUCUGAGGAACUUUCAUGCCAUUUAUUUGGUGUGAUUGGAAAUCAGGACUAUUACUUUGAAAAAAUUAGAGUGUUUAAAGCAGGCUAACGUCUGAAUAUAUUAGCAUGGAAUAAUGAAAUAGGACGGCUUGGUUCUAUUUCGUUGGUUUCUAGGAUCUCUUUUAAUGAUUAAUAGGGAUAGUUGGGGGCAUUAGUAUUCAAUUGUCAGAGGUGAAAUUCUUGGAUUUAUUGAAGACUAACUACUGCGAAAGCAUUUGCCAAGGAUGUUUUCAUUAAUCAAGAACGAAAGUUAGGGGAUCGAAGACGAUCAGAUACCGUCGUAGUCUUAACCAUAAACUAUGCCGACUAGGGAUCGGACGAAGUUAAUUUUAUAAUGACGCGUUCGGCGCCUUACGGGAAAC